RNAcentral lists this small RNA (579 nucleotides) under Pongo abelii (Sumatran orangutan). RNAcentral describes it as "processed transcript". Lineage: Eukaryota; Metazoa; Chordata; Mammalia; Primates; Hominidae. The record is from RNAcentral.
AUUCGAUGCACCCGGAGGAACGGAAGGCAGGAUUGCAGCUUCCUCAGUGCAACCUCCAAACAGGAAAUCUGAGAUGCAUAACAUCUUAUAGUUUGGCUUGUCAACGUUGGUCAUGCGGUGGCCCCAAAAUAAACUCCCUGCUUCAAAGGAGAGCGUUUCAGAACUGCCUGGCAGAGCAGCCAGAAGCUUGGGGCCAGGGCAGAAGGAAAACUCGGGGAGCAUGUUCUGAAUUAAGACACUUUCAAGAAAAUCCUUUGUAUUACCCCUGAAUUGUACCCUUGUUUCAGAGCCUAACAGGGUUUUCUGAUUUGCUGUUCCCUCCUCCCCACUGGGUGUCUGUUCUGGAGGCGCUGCUGAGCGCGCGCUUCGACGUGAACACGCCGCUGGCGCCCGAGCGCGCGCGCCUCUACGAAGACCGGCGCAGCUCCGCGCUGUACUUCGCGGUGGUCAACAACAACGUGUAUGCCACCGAGCUGCUGCUGGAACACGGCGCCGACCCCAACCGCGACGUCAUCAGCCCCUUGCUCGUGGCCAUUCGCCACGGCUGCCUGCGCACAAUGCAGCUGCUGCUGGACCACG